CCCGGCUCUCUGUCCUCGGGACCGCGCCCAGGAGGAGAGGGGCCCAGAGAGAGCACUGUGGGGCACCGCUUGAGUGAGCGGCUUCUGCCAGGUUCGUUGGAGGGACGUGCGCGGCACGUUCCGUGGAAAGAUGAGCACACAGUGCCUGCCAAGCCCUGACCGGGUACAGAGAAGGUUGGUGGGAGGAUUAAGGCACCAGGCGUAGCACACCCCAGUGCUCACGAACCGCGACCUCAGCAUGACAGCAUCGGGCCAGCGAGGCUCCGGAAACCGGAGAAGUCAGUUCUGAAGGGCCCCGGAGAGAGAAGAGAGGGCAAAGAGGCCCAGAAAUGACGCCCCCAGCGUCAGUCCACGGGUCCUGCAGGAGGAGGGGAGAGGGGUACCGAAAGAGGGCAAGAGGCUGCCCAGAGCUUCCCACUGACGUUCCGCCUCCCCAGUGCCAGCCUGUGGUAGGCAGUAGCCCCUGGCCUAACGCUGCCAAUCCGUUAUUUUCACAGACAAGAGUCUAUACGGACGCGAGAAACCUUUGCAUCCACACCUACGUACAUAAAUACCACAGUUCUGCACACACAGAAAAAGAUAAAAGGUGGGAGAAGUAGAGACAAGAGGACAAAGAAGGCAAAGUGGGACUGGAAGGUCCAACCCAGUUGCAUUUCCAAGUCACCCGGUGCUGGUCGCCGGCUGGCACUGUGCUACGCAGCCCGGAAAGGUGGAGGGAAGAGAAGCCUCAGGGUGCCUGGGACAGGCGGCUGGCCCGCUAGAUCGUGUCCAGGCUGAACACACGGUCUGUGCAAAGGCGGCGGGGGAGCGGGGCACCUGGGUGGCUCAGCCGGUUGAGCAUCCAACUUCGGCUCCUGAGUUCAAGCCCCGUAUCCGGCUAGCUGCUGUCAGCCUGGCAGCACAGAGCCUGCUUCGGAUCCUCUGCCCCCCUCUCUCCGCCCCUUCCCCGGCUUGCACUCUCCCAAAAAUAAAUAAAUAUUAAAAAAAAAAAAAAAAAAAAGGAGGCAGGGGAGCACUUCAGAUGGGUUCAGGGAGGAGAGAGACGGGUGUGUGCAGGAGGGGCUGAGGCACACUUACCCAACAGAAUUUAGAGGAGCAGACGGGAGGUAUGAAUUUCUGAGCGGCAGUUAGAGAGCAUACAAGACCACCAUGAAGACACUGGGUACAUCAGGCAGGUAGGAGGUGCGCUGCUCUUGGAUCAUCGGACUUGAAUUAAGACA
Neofelis nebulosa (Clouded leopard) is the source of this 1220-nucleotide long non-coding RNA. RefSeq lists it as uncharacterized. The transcript has 3 exons. NCBI's taxonomy places the organism in Eukaryota, Metazoa, Chordata, Mammalia, Carnivora, Felidae. The record is from RefSeq and is a predicted model, not a curated record.